UACAGAGGUCUCAAGCGUUGUUCGGAUUCAUUGGGCGUAAAGGGUGCGUAGGUGGCGCUGUAAGUCAGGUGUGAAAUUUCGGAGCUUAACUCCGAAACUGCAUUCGAUACUGCGGUGCUUGAGGACUGGAGAGGAGACUGGAAUUUACGGUGUAGCAGUGAAAUGCGUAGAUAUCGUAAGGAAGACCAGUGGCGAAGGCGGGUCUCUGGACAGUUCCUGACACUGAGACACGAAGGCCAGGGGAGCAAACGGG
Molecule: ribosomal RNA, 253 nt
Filed under: uncultured bacterium
Lineage: Bacteria
Description: partial 16S ribosomal RNA
Rfam family: Bacterial small subunit ribosomal RNA
Source: RNAcentral